This 1263-nucleotide ribosomal RNA is filed under the name human gut metagenome. Its description in RNAcentral is "bacterial LSU rRNA". It matches the Rfam family "Bacterial large subunit ribosomal RNA", at positions 1169 to 2451 of the family's 2925-position model. The record is from RNAcentral.
AAUUUCCGGGGCUAAAACUUACUACCGAAGCUACGGCAUCAUUAUGAUGGGUAGGGGAGCUUUCUAUACGGGUUGAAGCAUGACCGUAAGGACAUGUGGACUGUAUAGAAGUGAGAAUGUUGGCAUGAGUAGCGAGAUGUGGGUGAGAAUCCCACAGGCCGUAAACCCAAGGUUUCCAGGGGAAGGUUCGUCCGCCCUGGGUUAGUCAGGACCUAAGCCGAGGCCGAAAGGCGUAGGUGAUGGACAACAGGUUGAUAUUCCUGUACCACCAAUAACCGUUUGAGAAAUGGGAUGACACAGUAGGAUAAGCUAACCGCACUGUUGGUUAUGUGCGGGCAAGUAUUGAGGCAGUUCCGAUAGGCAAAUCCGUCGGAAUAAUGCUGGGGUACGAUGCGGAGCGAAAUUAAGUAGCGAAGUAGCUGAUUUCACACUGUCGAGAAAAGUCUCUAUCGAGGUUAAAGGUGCCUGUACCGCAAACCGACACAGGUGGGUGAGGAGAGUAUCCUAAGGCCAGCGAGAGAACUGUUGUUAAGGAACUCGGCAAAAUGACCCCGUAACUUAGGGAGAAGGGGUGCCUCGAAAGAAGGCCGCAGAGAAUAGGCCCAAGCGACUGUUUACCAAAAACAUAGGUUUCUGCUAAGUCGCAAGACGAUGUAUAGGAGCUGACGCCUGCCCGGUGCUGGAAGGUUAAGGGGAUCUGUUAGAGCAAUCGAAGCAGUGAACUUAAGCCCCAGUAAACGGCGGCCGUAACUAUAACGGUCCUAAGGUAGCGAAAUUCCUUGUCGGGUAAGUUCCGACCCGCACGAAAGGCGUAACGAUUUGGGCACUGUCUCAACAACAGACUCGGUGAAAUUGUAAUACCGGUGAAGAUGCCGGUUACCUGCGACAGGACGGAAAGACCCCAUGGAGCUUUACUGUAGCUUGACAUUGAGUCUCGGUGCUACAUGUACAGGAUAGGUGGGAGACUAUGAAGCAUGGACGUCAGUCUGUGUGGAGUCAUCCUUGGGAUACCACCCUUGUAGUACUGGGAUUCUAACCAGAGGCCAUGAAUCUGGUCUUGGGACACUGUCAGGUGGGCAGUUUGACUGGGGCGGUCGCCUCCCAAAAAGUAACGGAGGCGCUCAAAGGUUCUCUCAGUACGGUCGGAAAUCGUACGAAGAGUGUAAAGGCAAAAGAGAGCUUGAUUGCAAGACAUACAGGUCGAGCAAGGACGAAAGUCGGACUUAGUGAUCCGGUGGUUCCGCAUGGAAGGGCCAUCGCUCA